Molecule: ribosomal RNA, 433 nt
Filed under: uncultured bacterium
Lineage: Bacteria
Description: partial 16S ribosomal RNA
Rfam family: Bacterial small subunit ribosomal RNA
Source: RNAcentral
AACGAACGCUGGCGGCAUGCCUAACACAUGCAAGUCGAACGAGACCUUCGGGUCUAGUGGCGCACGGGUGCGUAACGCGUGGGAACCUGCCCUUAGGUUCGGAAUAACUCCCCGAAAGGGGUGCUAAUACCGGAUAAUGUCUUCGGACCAAAGAUUUAUCGCCUUUGGAUGGGCCCGCGUUGGAUUAGCUAGUUGGUAGGGUAAAAGCCUACCAAGGCGACGAUCCAUAGCUGGUCUGAGAGGAUGAUCAGCCACACUGGGACUGAGACACGGCACAGACUCCUACGGGAGGCAGCAGUGGGGAAUAUUGGACAAUGGGCGAAAGCCUGAUGCAGCAAUGCCGCGUGAGUGAUGAAGGCCUUAGGGUUGUAAAGCGCUUUUACCCGGGAUGAUAAUGACAGUACCGGGAGAAUAAGCUCCGGCUAACUCCGUG